This 363-nucleotide ribosomal RNA is filed under the name Triticum aestivum (bread wheat). RNAcentral describes it as "partial small subunit ribosomal RNA". Lineage: Eukaryota; Viridiplantae; Streptophyta; Magnoliopsida; Poales; Poaceae. The record is from RNAcentral.
AUGCCGCAGGUUGGGCUUUCAAAAACUUUACCGGCCCGAUCCAAAAUUCUUGGCAGGACGAUGAGGCGGACCACGGCGUUGCUGCUGCGCCACGGCGGCGGCGGGAUCCCGCAGGCGCUCGCCGACGUGCUCGUCUGCCCCCUGUCCAAGAAGCCUCUCAGGUAUUGCGAGGCCAGCGGCUCUCUGGUCAGCGACGCCGUCGGCAUGUCCUUCCCGAUAGUAGAUGGAAUUCCUUGCUCCUUCCGAAAGACGGGAAGUUGCUCGAAGACCACCAGAGGGAAUCAGGACAUGAGACCAGCUCUAGGGAUUCCUCUGAUUGAAUCCACGUUGUUGUACAAGCCGGUAACAUCGUUCUGUAUUUAA